GACGAACGCUGGCGGCGUGCCUAAUACAUGCAAGUUGAGCGCUGAAGGCUGGUACUUGUACCGACUGGAUGAGCAGCGAACGGGUGAGUAACGCGUGGGGAAUCUGCCUUUGAGCGGGGGACAACAUUUGGAAACGAAUGCUAAUACCGCAUAACAACUUUAAACACAAGUUUUAAGUUUGAAAGAUGCAAUUGCAUCACUCAAAGAUGAUCCCGGGUUGUAUUAGCUAGUUGGUGAGGUAAAGGCUCACCAAGGCGAUGAUGCAUAGCCGACCUGAGAGGGUGAUCGGCCACAUUGGGACUGAGACACGGCCCAAACUCCUACGGGAGGCAGCAGUAGGGAAUCUUCGGCAAUGGACGAAAGUCUGACCGAGCAACGCCGCGUGAGUGAAGAAGGUUUUCGGAUCGUAAAACUCUGUUGGUAGAGAAGAACGUUGGUGAGAGUGGAAAGCUCAUCAAGUGACGGUAACUACCCAGAAAGGGACGGCUAACUACGUGCCAGCCGCCGCGGUAA
RNAcentral lists this ribosomal RNA (513 nucleotides) under uncultured bacterium. RNAcentral describes it as "partial 16S ribosomal RNA". It matches the Rfam family "Bacterial small subunit ribosomal RNA", at positions 28 to 523 of the family's 1533-position model. The record is from RNAcentral.